AGCUCCAAUAGCGUAUAUUAAAGUUGUUGCAGUUAAAAGCUCGUAGUUGAACUUCUGGCUAUUCUUCCAGCUGGCUUCGGUCGCUGUAAGAGUGGUCAUCCGCUUGGGAACUACGUUCGAACUUCACUGUUCGGCGUAAGGAACAGGCAUUUUACUUAGAAAAAUUAGAGUGUUCAAGGCAGGCUAUCGCCCUGAAUACACAAGCUUGGAAUAAUGAAAUAGGACUACUUCCAUUUUAUUGGUUAUUGGAAUUAGUAAUGAUUAAUAGGGACAGUUGGGGACAUUAGUAUUUAAUUGUCAGAGGUGAAAUUCUUGGAUUUAUUAAAGACUAACUUAUGCGAAAGCAUUUGUCAAGGAUGUUUUCA
Molecule: ribosomal RNA, 365 nt
Filed under: uncultured eukaryote
Lineage: Eukaryota
Description: SSU rRNA
Rfam family: Eukaryotic small subunit ribosomal RNA
Source: RNAcentral